RNAcentral lists this ribosomal RNA (751 nucleotides) under uncultured archaeon. RNAcentral's name for it is "bacterial SSU rRNA". It matches the Rfam family "Archaeal small subunit ribosomal RNA", at positions 92 to 847 of the family's 1478-position model. The record is from RNAcentral.
AGUAACACGUCGGUAAUCUAACCUUAAGUCUGGGAUAACCUUGGGAAACUGAGGAUAACACUGGAUAGGGGAUUGAGGCUGGAACGCACUUUCUCCAAAAAGUAAUGCUUAAGGAUGAGCCGGCGGCUGAUUAGGCUGUUGGUGAGGUAAUGGCUCACCAAACCAAAGAUCAGUAGGGGCCCUGAGAGGGGUAGCCCCGAGAAGGACACUGAGAUACGGGUCCUAGCCCCACGGUGUGCAGCAGGCGCGGAACCUCUACAAUGCACGAAAGUGUGAUAGGGGGAUCCCGAGUGCCAAUGUACAACAUUGGCUUUUUUCAAGACUAAAACUCUUGGAGAAUAAGUGGUGGGUAAGACUGGUGCCAGCCGCCGCGGUAACACCAGCGCCACGAGUGGCAAUCGCGUUUAUUGGGCUUAAAGCGUCCGUAGCCGGUUUGGUAAAUCUUUUGUGAAAUCGUUGUGCUUAACAUAACGGCAUGCAAGAGACACUGCCAAACUAGGGACCGGGAGGAGCUGGAGGUAUUCCUUGGGGAGCGGUAAAAUGUUAUAAUCCUUGGAAGACCACCCGUGGCGAAGGCGUCCAGCUAGAACGGAUCCGACGGUGAGGGACGAAAGCUGGGGGAGCGAUCCGGAUUAGAUACCCGAGUAGUCCCAGCUGUAAACGCUGCGAGCUAGGUGUUGCAUAUUCUACAUGAAUGUGCAGUGUCGAAGCGAAGGUGUUAAGCUCGCCGCCUGGGAAGUACGGUCGCAAG